This 253-nucleotide ribosomal RNA is filed under the name uncultured bacterium. RNAcentral describes it as "partial 16S ribosomal RNA". It matches the Rfam family "Bacterial small subunit ribosomal RNA", at positions 524 to 776 of the family's 1533-position model. The record is from RNAcentral.
UACGAGGGGGGCGAGCGUUGUUCGGAUUUAUUGGGCGUAAAGAGCUCGUAGGCGGCUUGUCGCGUCGAAUGUGAAAACUCGGGGCUCAACCCCGCGCUUGCAUUCGAUACGGGCAGGCUCGAGUUCGGUAGGGGAGACUGGAAUUCCUGGUGUAGCGGUGAAAUGCGCAGAUAUCAGGAGGAACACCGGUGGCGAAGGCGGGUCUCUGGGCCGAUACUGACGCUGAGGAGCGAAAGCGUGGGGAGCGAACAGG